Molecule: ribosomal RNA, 301 nt
Filed under: uncultured bacterium
Lineage: Bacteria
Description: partial 16S ribosomal RNA
Rfam family: Bacterial small subunit ribosomal RNA
Source: RNAcentral
CAGCCGCCGCGGUAAUACGUACGUCACAAGCGUUAUCCGGAUUUAUUGGGCGUAAAGCGCGUCUAGGUGGUUAUGUAAGUCUGAUGUGAAAAUGCAGGGCUCAACUCUGUAUUGCGUUGGAAACUGUGUAACUAGAGUACUGGAGAGGUAAGCGGAACUACAAGUGUAGAGGUGAAAUUCGUAGAUAUUUGUAGGAAUGCCGAUGGGGAAGCCAGCUUACUGGACAGAUACUGACGCUGAAGCGCGAAAGCGUGGGUAGCAAACAGGAUUAGAUACCCGAGUAGUCCCUGUCUCUUAUACA